CCUACGGGGGGCAGCAGUGAGGAAUAUUGGUCAAUGGACGAGAGUCUGAACCAGCCAAGUAGCGUGAAGGAUGACUGCCCUAUGGGUUGUAAACUUCUUUUAUAUGGGAAUAAAAUGUUCCACGUGUGGGAUUUUGUAUGUACCAUAUGAAUAAGGAUCGGCUAACUCCGUGCCAGCAGCCGCGGUAAUACGGAGGAUCCGAGCGUUAUCCGGAUUUAUUGGGUUUAAAGGGAGCGUAGGUGGCUUGUUAAGUCAGUUGUGAAAGUUUGCGGCUCAACCGUAAAAUUGCAGUUGAAACUGGCAGUCUUGAGUACAGUAGAGGUGGGCGGAAUUCGUGGUGUAGCGGUGAAAUGCUUAGAUAUCACGAAGAACUCCGAUUGCGAAGGCAGUUCACUGGACUGCAACUGACACUGAGGCUCGAAAGUGUGGGUAUCAAACAGGAUUAGAUACCCGUGUAGUC
This 460-nucleotide ribosomal RNA is filed under the name uncultured bacterium. Its description in RNAcentral is "partial 16S ribosomal RNA". It matches the Rfam family "Bacterial small subunit ribosomal RNA", at positions 338 to 795 of the family's 1533-position model. The record is from RNAcentral.